AGCGAACGUUAGCGGCGGGCCUAACACAUGCAAGUCGAACGCGAAAGGUCUUCGGACUGAUUAGAGUGGCGCACGGGUGAGUAACACGUAGGUAAUCUACCCUUUGGCGGGGGAUAACGUUCCGAAAGGAGCGCUAAUACCGCAUAAGACCACGGAGUCUCCGGACGCUGUGGGAAAAGGUGGCCUCUUCUUGAAAGCUAUCACCGGAGGAUGAGCCUGCGUCCCAUCAGCUAGUUGGUAAGGUAAUGGCUUACCAAGGCAAAGACGGGUAGCUGGUUUGAGAGAAUGAUCAGCCACACUGGCACUGGAACACGGGCCAGACUCCUACGGGAGGCAGCAGUGGGGAAUCUUAGACAAUGGGGGCAACCCUGAUCUAGCCAUGCCGCGUGAGUGAUGAAGGCCCUAGGGUUGUAAAGCUCUUUCAGCUGGGAAGAUAAUGACGGUACCAGCAGAAGAAGCCCCGGCUAACUCCGUG
RNAcentral lists this ribosomal RNA (475 nucleotides) under uncultured bacterium. RNAcentral describes it as "bacterial SSU rRNA". It matches the Rfam family "Bacterial small subunit ribosomal RNA", at positions 29 to 507 of the family's 1533-position model. The record is from RNAcentral.